CUUAGGCGGAUUGCCUAGGGACUCGAACGGAAAUUUUAUAAGAAUCGAUGCAUCGCGGGGGAAUCGAUUCCGCGGUCGGAACCGCGAGUGUGUAAUCGACCAAGCCGGAUCGAUUCCGGGGUAAUUGAUCGGUCCACAACUAACGUGUGUACUGUAGGCAAUGGAGGGCCUGCUGCUGCUGCCGCUGAUGCUGCUGAUGUUGGCCGGGUUCGGAGCUUCAGGACCCGAGUUCGAACCGCCUCGUGGAGCACCACGUGGUCUGGCGAGUGCUAGGGUGGAGAGUUGCGGAGGAUGACAGCUGAACUUCUUGAAAGAGGUGAAGGCCUUCAUCAAGGAAGACCUGCCUCUAUAGCAGCC
This is a non-coding RNA of Petromyzon marinus (sea lamprey), 357 nucleotides long. The record is from RefSeq and is a predicted model, not a curated record. Lineage: Eukaryota; Metazoa; Chordata; Hyperoartia; Petromyzontiformes; Petromyzontidae.